AGAGUUUGAUCUGGUCAGAACGAACGCUGGCGGCGUGCUUAAUACAUGCAAGUCGUGCGAGAAAGUGGUAGCAAUACCAUGAGUAGAGCGGCAAACGGGUGAGUAACACGUAAGUAACCUUCCUCCAAUUCUGGAAUAACCUUGCCAACGCGAGGCUAAUACCGGAUGUGGCCACGAGCCCGCAUGGGUUUGUGAUUAAAGAUGACCUCUAUUUAUAAGUUAUCGUUUGGAGAUGGACUUGCGCCUCAUUAGCUAGAUGGUAGGGUAACGGCCUACCAAGGCUUUGAUGGGUAGCCGGCCUGAGAGGGUGUACGGCCACAUUGGGACUGAGAUACGGCCCAGACUCCUACGGGAGGCAGCAGUAGGGAAUUUUGCGCAAUGGACGAAAGUCUGACGCAGCAACGCCGCGUGAGUGAUGAAGGUCUUCGGAUUGUAAAGCUCUGUUGAGUGGGAAGGAAAGUUCCGGGAAUAAUACCUCGGGAUCUGACGGUACCACUUGAGGAAGCCCCGGCUAACUACGUGCCAGCAGCCGCGGUAAUACGUAGGGGGCAAGCGUUGUUCGGAAUCACUGGGCGUAAAGGGAGCGUAGGCGGAAGGAUAAGUUAGAAGUUUAAUGUACGGGCUUAACCCGUAAUCUGCUUCUAAUACUGUUUUUCUUGAGUAUGGGAGAGGGAGAUGGAAUUCCAGGUGUAGCGGUGGAAUGCGUAGAUAUCUGGAAGAACACCAGCUGCGAAGGCGGUCUCCUGGCCCAAUACUGA
RNAcentral lists this ribosomal RNA (758 nucleotides) under uncultured bacterium. RNAcentral's name for it is "bacterial SSU rRNA". It matches the Rfam family "Bacterial small subunit ribosomal RNA", at positions 8 to 743 of the family's 1533-position model. The record is from RNAcentral.